RNAcentral lists this ribosomal RNA (427 nucleotides) under uncultured bacterium. Its description in RNAcentral is "partial 16S ribosomal RNA". It matches the Rfam family "Bacterial small subunit ribosomal RNA", at positions 355 to 774 of the family's 1533-position model. The record is from RNAcentral.
UGGGGAAUAUUGCACAAUGGGCGCAAGCCUGAUGCAGCCAUGCCGCGUGUAUGAAGAAGGCCUUCGGGUUGUAAAGUACUUUCAGCGGGGAGGAAGGCGAUAAGGUUAAUAACCUUGUCGAUUGACGUUACCCGCAGAAGAAGCACCGGCUAACUCCGUGCCAGCAGCCGCGGUAAUACGGAGGGUGCAAGCGUUAAUCGGAAUUACUGGGCGUAAAGCGCACGCAGGCGGUCUGUCAAGUCGGAUGUGAAAUCCCCGGGCUCAACCUGGGAACUGCAUUCGAAACUGGCAGGCUAGAGUCCUGUAGAGGGGGGUAGAAUUCCAGGUGUAGCGGUGAAAUGCGUAGAGAUCUGGAGGAAUACCGGUGGCGAAGGCGGCCCCCUGGACAAAGACUGACACUGAGGUGCGAAAGCGUGGGGAGCAAACA